GCCUGAUGCAGCAAUGCCGCGUGAGUGAUGAAGGCCUUCGGGUUGUAAAGCUCUUUCAUUGGGGAAGAAGAUGACGGGACCCUACCAGGAAACCCCGGACUAACUUCGUGCCGUGACCCCCGCCGCUG
Molecule: ribosomal RNA, 128 nt
Filed under: uncultured bacterium
Lineage: Bacteria
Description: partial 16S ribosomal RNA
Rfam family: Bacterial small subunit ribosomal RNA
Source: RNAcentral